This is a long non-coding RNA of Crotalus tigris (Tiger rattlesnake), 972 nucleotides long. RefSeq lists it as uncharacterized. The transcript is spliced from 3 exons. Lineage: Eukaryota; Metazoa; Chordata; Lepidosauria; Squamata; Viperidae. The record is from RefSeq and is a predicted model, not a curated record.
ACCGCGGUCCUUCUAGCCCACCCGGCCGGCCGCUCGGCUCCCCUACGUGCGCGUCUCGCCCGCAAGUCCCGGGGCUUUUGAACUGCAAGCUUUCGCGAAGCAACAGGCGGCGGCAGCUCGGGCGCUGAGUGGGCGGAGCUCGCCGCCGCCUUCUCACUGCCUCCCCAAAAUGUCUCGGAAGAAAAGCCGCAGGAGAGUGAAAGUCUCUCUUUCCACGCCGGGCUCAGACGCUGCCUCGGAGGCUUUCGAAGCGAGUCCCUCGAUCCCCCGCCUCCGAGUUCCUCAGCCUCAGCCCCGACUGGCUUGGAGAUAAGGAGCGUGGGGAGCGCACACGCACGCUCGUGGCGGGAGGGGCGUGGAGGGCCUGCCCCGUCUGGCGAAAGGGAGAAGAGAGGCACUUGUUUUGUAUACGCGCGCAGCCCGUUCCUGGGCGUUUCCAAGGAGCGAAGCCCACUUUGCGUAGUUUGCUCCCACAGCUAUGAAGAUAGAGCAGCGCUUUGGCCUGGAGGUGAAGAUGCUUGUCUCCCACUUGGAAGGUUGAGAGUUCAAUCCUGGGCAGCGACAGAUGUUUCUCUAUCAGGGCGCAAAGAGAAAAUAACUGCUGUGAACUCCACAUAGGCAUCAGGAAGGGCAUUCGGCUGGUAAAUGCUCAGCUUCACUCAGUUGCCCCGACUCCAUCCCGAUAGAAGGUGGCAGAAGAUUGGAUAGGAAGACUUAUUACAGAGAAUUAGACAGCUAUAAGUACAAGACAUUUUCCAUCUACUAUUAUCCAGGAAUCCUGACAUUUACAUCAAGUAUUCCCAAGGUUUGAAUCCUGAAUAUCUUCCUCCCAUCUUUUUGAGUCAACAGCCUUGUGGCUAUUCAUUUCCCAAGCUUGAAAUGACUCUAGUUUAAGAAGCAGAGAUUCUCAGCUCACCAGCUUCAACACUUAUAAUUAAUAUUAAAACAAAUAAAAAAUCACUGCAAGGUCAA